Molecule: ribosomal RNA, 500 nt
Filed under: uncultured bacterium
Lineage: Bacteria
Description: partial 16S ribosomal RNA
Rfam family: Bacterial small subunit ribosomal RNA
Source: RNAcentral
AUUGAACGCUGGCGGAAUGCUUUACACAUGCAAGUCGAACGGCAGCACGGACUUCGGUCUGGUGGCGAGUGGCGAACGGGUGAGUAAUGUAUCGGAACGUGCCCAGUCGUGGGGGAUAACGUAGUGAAAAUUACGCUAAUACCGCAUACGAUCUAUGGAUGUAAGCGGGGGAUCGCAAGACCUCGCGCGAUUGGAGCGGCCGAUAUCAGAUUAGGUAGUUGGUGGGGUAAAGGCCCACCAAGCCAACGAUCUGUAGCUGGUCUGAGAGGACGGUCAUCCACACUGGAACGGCGACACCGUCCCGACCCCUACGGGCAGCAGCAGUGGGGAAUUUUCGAGAAGGGGCGAACGCCUGAUCCAGCAGUUCCGCGUGCAGGAGGAAGGCCCUCGGGUUGUAAACUGCUUUUGUACAGAACGAAAAGGUUUCGACUCAUACUUGGAGCUCAUGACGGUACUGUAAGAAUAAGCACCGGCUAACUCCGUGCCAGCCGCCGCGGUAA